Long non-coding RNA from Macadamia integrifolia, 766 nucleotides. RefSeq lists it as uncharacterized. Lineage: Eukaryota; Viridiplantae; Streptophyta; Magnoliopsida; Proteales; Proteaceae. The transcript has 3 exons. The record is from RefSeq and is a predicted model, not a curated record.
AUUUGGUUGAACAACAUCAAAGAAAGAAGAAGAAGGAAAGGAGAGAAGGGGAAGAAGGAAGUAAGGUCGAAUUGGGGCUGCCUGCACUCAAGUAAGGAACCUAAACAAUUGGGCAAGGACACGAAGUUGAUUGUGGGAUAUCCUAUCGUACACCGUGAUUUGGGUUUUGAGCAGUGGCGAUUGAAGUGAUCUGCUCUCUGGUUCGCCUGCCCUCCCACCAAUAACGUUUGCUUCAGCCAGCCAGCGACUCUACAAAUUUGGAUUUGGUAUUCUCCUUCUCCUCUCUCUCCCUCUCUAAGUUUGUCUUGCAUUUUGGACUUGGUUCAUGAGGAUCAGUUAAUCAGGUCUACUAUCAUGACGUGGGUUCUACUGUAAAGGUCUUUAUCAAAGGAAAAAGAUGAUUAUCUUGCGGUGGGGAUUAUGGUGGUUGGUGUUAGUAUAUGUGUUUCUGAAGGAAAUUAUUUGACUGUUAUACAGUUUGUUUGUUAGCUCAUGAAGAAAAGGGUAUCUGUUAGUGGUGGGAUUCUCAUUAUUUGGUUUAAUCUACUGAAGGAAACAAGGUAUGAGAGCUAUGUAUCUACUGUAAGAGGAGGAUUAAAUAGUCAGGGUUUUAGAAGGAUGAGCUUUUGUGGGCCUGUGGAAAUAGUGCUUAUGAAGGGGAAUUUUGGUUAGCAGGACUUGCAAUUUGAAAGGCCAGUUUUUUUUUUUGGUUGGUUUCAUUGUGGUCACUUUCACAUCUCAGCAUCCAGAAACACUAGUUUUCUUU